This 253-nucleotide ribosomal RNA is filed under the name uncultured bacterium. Its description in RNAcentral is "partial 16S ribosomal RNA". It matches the Rfam family "Bacterial small subunit ribosomal RNA", at positions 524 to 776 of the family's 1533-position model. The record is from RNAcentral.
UACGUAGGUGGCAAGCGUUGUCCGGAUUUAUUGGGUUUAAAGGGUGCGUAGGUUGUUCUAUAAGUCAGUGGUGAAAUACGGCAGCUUAACUGUCGAGGUGCCAUUGAUACUGCAGAACUUGAGUACAGACGAGGUAGGCGGAAUUGACGGUGUAGCGGUGAAAUGCUUAGAAAUCGUCAAGAACACCGAUAGCGAAGGCAGCUUACUAGACUGUAACUGACACUGAGGCACGAAAGUGUGGGGAUCAAACAGG